RNAcentral lists this long non-coding RNA (1227 nucleotides) under Sus scrofa (pig). Its description in RNAcentral is "lncRNA (ENSSSCG00070009599.1)". The record is from RNAcentral. Lineage: Eukaryota; Metazoa; Chordata; Mammalia; Artiodactyla; Suidae.
UGUUUUGGAGGACAUAGAAGCAUAUACCUACAUAAACACAUAAAGGAAUUAAGAAUAUAGCUAGUAGCAAAGUGCUUUUUCAAUGAGAUUAUGCAGUGACUGGUUUUAGACAGAAUGAGUAUUACAGAAGGUGAGGGAAAAGAAGUGAAGCAUAAAGACUGAUGGAGAAACUCAUAAAUACAUAUACAAUCACCAUCACUGGAGAGAUAGAUGGAGGCACAGAUAAGUAGAUACGUAGAUACCUAGGGUGAAUAACUAAUAUGUAUAUUCACAUCUAUAGCUAUAUCUAAGAUAGGAUAGAUCAACCUAUUGAUUUAACACACACACACACACACACACACAAAACCCCACCCCACCUCUAGUACCCUUCCAGCAAUUGGCCUCGGCCAAGACCCAUUGCCUGUGUUCUGGGUUAGAUCAAGAUGCCAAUUCAGUGAGACAAAGCGGGGAAGGCUGGAAUCCCUCAAUCCCUCUCUUCCCAAAGACACUGGUGAGAGUCCUGCCAUAGAGGAAAUCUGAGUCCCUUGCAGAGAGAACAACAGAAGGAAGCCAGAAGCCCCCAGUGCAAAAGAGGCAGAUUCCGCAGCGCUUGCAGCGAAGCACUCUCCAAACAUGUGUUUCUGUGGCUUCUGGCUCCGCCGGUGGGCUCAGCCUGGGCCCCGCCCCGGUCUCUGAGACGUCCGCGUGGCGGCGUCUUGCUCCACGCAGGCGCAGGCGGCCGCCACCUGAACGCGACGCCUCCGGCCGGCCCCGCCUGCCCCGCCGCGGCCCAACUUGACCGGAGUUGAGGUCCUGAGCGCCUGCCCCCGAGCAGCCGGCCCGCGGAGAGCUCUGCGCCGCCACCCCAGGUCCGGAACCCCUCCCCGCUCCUCUCCGCUCCCGCGACCGGAAAAGUUGGCGCGGGCGGCCGCCCCCCAGCCGUGCAGAGCGCUCUUCUCCCCGGCGCGGGGCCCUCGGUCCCCCGGCCCCCGGAGCCUGCGGUGGUGGCUCCUGCUGGGUCCUGCAGUACCAGAGUUCCGACCCCAGGGUCCCCUUACCAGCGGCUGCCAGGACGCACUCCUGCUCCUCCCUCCCCUUCCCAGAGCGCUCCCGGCACUGGGGCGGUGCGAGGCUUCCAGGAUGGAGGAACUGAAGCUGACAAACAGCAAGUUAGAGGGUGGCAAGGAACUCCAGCACACCAAAGUGCCCCGCCCGUCCCGACCGCCGCCACAGCCGGAUACUUGCUGA